This 460-nucleotide ribosomal RNA is filed under the name uncultured bacterium. RNAcentral describes it as "partial 16S ribosomal RNA". It matches the Rfam family "Bacterial small subunit ribosomal RNA", at positions 338 to 795 of the family's 1533-position model. The record is from RNAcentral.
CCUACGGGUGACAGCAGUGAGGAAUAUUGGUCAAUGGGCGCGAGCCUGAACCAGCCAAGUCGCGUGAGGGCGGACGGCCCUACGGGUUGUAAACCUCUUUUGCCGGGGAGCAACGGGCGUCCCGUGUGGCGCCACUGAGAGUACCCGGAGAAAAAGCAUCGGCUAACUCCGUGCCAGCAGCCGCGGUAAUACGGAGGAUGCGAGCGUUAUCCGGAUUUAUUGGGUUUAACGGGUGCGUAGGCGGAUCGUUAAGUCAGUGGUCAAAUUGAGGGGCUCAACCCCUUCCCGCCAUUGAAACUGGCGUUCUUGAGUGGAAGAGAAGUAUGCGGAAUGCGGGGUGGAGCGGUGAAAUGCAUAGAUAUCACGCAGAACCCCGAUUGCGAAGGCAGCAUGCCGGCUUCCGACUGACGCUGAAGCACGAAAGCGUGGGGAUCGAACAGGAUUAGAUACCCUAGUAGUC